Molecule: non-coding RNA, 237 nt
Filed under: Triticum aestivum (bread wheat)
Lineage: Eukaryota; Viridiplantae; Streptophyta; Magnoliopsida; Poales; Poaceae
Also listed under: 1 other name
Description: Archaeal large subunit ribosomal RNA
Rfam family: Bacterial large subunit ribosomal RNA
Source: Rfam by way of RNAcentral
GCCCCGUAACUUCGGGAGAAGGGGUCCGCCUCACAAAAGGGGACCGCAGUGACCAGGCCCGGGCAACUGUUUACCAAAAACACAGGUCUCCGCAAAGUCGUAAGACCAUGUAUGGGGGCUGACGCCUGCCCAAUGCCGGAAGUCCAAGGAGUUUGAGGUCAAUUGAGCAAAGGAAAAUAUCACUUGCUUCACAAUGUGCCAUUUAGGGCAGAAUAGGAAAUGAAUUAUUUGGGGAUU